RNAcentral lists this ribosomal RNA (490 nucleotides) under uncultured bacterium. RNAcentral describes it as "partial 16S ribosomal RNA". It matches the Rfam family "Bacterial small subunit ribosomal RNA", at positions 30 to 507 of the family's 1533-position model. The record is from RNAcentral.
AUUGAACGCUGGCGGCAGGCCUAACACAUGCAAGUCGAACGGUAACAGGAAACAGCUUGCUGUUUCGCUGACGAGUGGCGGACGGGUGAGUAAUGUCUGGGAAACUGCCUGAUGGAGGGGGAUAACUACUGGAAACGGUAGCUAAUACCGCAUAACGUCGCAAGACCAAAGAGGGGGACCCUCGGGCCUCUUGCCAUCGGAUGUGCCCAGAUGGGAUUAGCUUGUUGGUGGGGUAACGGCUCACCAAGGCGACGAUCCCUAGCUGGUCUGAGAGGAUGACCAGCCACACUGGAACUGAGACACGGUCCAGACUCCUACGGGAGGCAGCAGUGGGGAAUAUUGCACAAUGGGUGCAAGCCUGAUGCAGCCAUGCCGCGUGUAUGAAGAAGGCCUUCGGGUUGUAAAGUACUUUCAGCGGGGAGGAAGGGAGUAAAGUUAAUACCUUUGCUCAUUGACGUUACCCGCAGAAGAAGCACCGGCUAACUCCGUG